GUUAGCUGUGGCUGAAACUAGCUAACAUAACACUGGCUUGACUUAGCUAGAAGGUAGACUCGCGUUAUGAGAAUGACUUAACGCCAGCGUCGUUAGAUUAACGUUAACGUCAGCUACAUUAUAAUCGAUUUGUUUUGCACUUAAAGUUAACGGUUGGUCAUGGCUAGCGAUAGCUAAUUUAACGCGCUAACAUAUAGUUUAGCAUAGUAGCGUUUCAGUCGUCAUCUUACUGCUUCCCCUGCACCAACAAACUGGUCGGUAGCCUGCAGUUACAGGGCAUUGUGCGGUAUGUAGCCAUGGCAUGCUAACCACCCAUCAGGACAGUUGGUUACUGGUCAUAGCACAUGCCAGUUCUGGCUGACCAUAUAGUCAUGAUAUGAGGAAUUAUAGAGAUAGCUAGCGUUGUUAUGAAUAACAGCCAGGUUUAAAUUGCUUUGACACCAGAAUUCUACAGACGACAGGGCCUUGCGGUUUUGCAGUGGGUCUAACGUUACAUUUCGUUAGCUAGGUUGUCUAACGUCAACUCAGUCGCCUGAUUGAGGAUGUUUUUUCAAAACAAGUAAAGUUAGCAAAGUUUGGAGAGCAACAAUGUAACACAACUGAGCUGGUUAGCCAUUUUAAGUUCAUGAAUUAGUGGCGGGCAGCGUUAGCUAACAAAAUGAACAAUUCGGGAGUCUUGCCACAAGAAAAGAUGGAGCUGGAUCUGGAAAUCCCAUCUUCGUUAGCUCAGGGCGAUGGACACUUGAGGAGAUCCAACAGUGCACCCAUGAUACAUGGCUUAAGUGAUAACUCCCAGGUGUUCCAGAGAGAGGUCCUGCGUAGCCGGAGAAAUAGCACCACAGUUGUCAACAGGCCCAACAUGGUCCCGUCAUCACCUGUCCGCGUCCCCAGCACCAGACUUCAUCAGAUAAAACAAGAGGAGGGUGUGGAUGUGAUGAACAGAGAAACUGCUCAUGAGCGGGAGGUUCAAACUGCCAUGCAAAUGAGCCAGUCCUGGGAAGAAAGCCUGAGUCUGAGUGACAAUGAUUUGGAGAAGUCGGCAUCUUCGUCUCCAAAGCGCAUCGACUUUGUGCCUGUGUCGCCUGCGCCAUCUCCAACCAGAGGGAUAGGAAAAAAGCAGUGUUUCUCUCCUUCACUACAAAUCCUUGUGAGCAGCAAUGGCCUAACACCCAGCCCAGUACCCAGCCCAACACGACGCUUCAGCCGACGGAGUCAAAGCCCAAUCAACUGCAUCAGAGCCAGCAUACUUGGGCCAAUGAAACGCAAAGGCGAGAUGGAGACGGAGAGUCAGCCUAAGAGGCUCUUCCAGGGCACCACCACCAUGCUGUCCUCUGAUGUCUCCAACCUGUCAGAGCUCAGUUCCUGGUAAGACUUUGUGGAUCGACACAAAAUGUCAGAACAACCGUUCAAAAGCACACUGUUUAGUCACUCUCCAGAUUUGCUGGACGGCAGCCUCAGCAGCGUCGGAUCCUCCACAGACUCGCCAGGCAAAAUGGAGGGAGUGUCGCCCUCCUCGUCCAGCAACUCGCCCUUUGCUUCCCUCCAGGAUUUGUCCCCAAAGUGAGCACGGGAUAGCAAGAGACACUAUAAGGGACUAUGGCCAAAAAUUCUCUCUCCAGGAAACCAGUUUCCUUGCGAGACCUUCCAUCUCAGCAUCACCUAGAUUUAAAUGGAAGUUUCCAUGUUUGUUUCUGAGCGGCCGUUUUCAUGCCUACAUUUUGGAGGGUGUAAGAUAUUUUUGAAUUAAGGAAACGAAAGCCAUGGAUUAGUUUUAGUGUGGAAGAGGUAAGCCUAGUGAAACUAGCGAUGACUGAAGACACUGGGCACCAGCUGCUAGUAGAGGAUCUUGGAUGGUGCUUGGCUCCAUAGUGAUGGUGUUCAUAAGUGGCUAUGCUUUUGUCCUACCAGUUCCCCUCGCUACAGAGAGACAUUAAGCACUGGACAUAAGAAAAGAAAAAAAAAAAAGACUAUUUUGGAUGUGUACAUUUUUCCUGUUUUUGUGCUGGAGAACUUCUGUCCACGGGCCUUUGUAUGUAUACAGUCUACAUAUUUUGUAAGAAAAUAUUUAACUUAUUGUUUUCCUGCUUUGUUUGUAAUUAUGUACAUAUUAACAUUGUCGAAUGUCGUACAUAGUUUUAAGUUUGAUCGGCUGUGAGGUGAACGUGGGCACAGGUCAACAGCAAAUGCUGUCUUUGUAAAGGAACAAACUACUUCUGGUGUACACCUGUGGAUAUUUCCUUACGGUUAUACUGUAAGAGAAGUUAUGUUGUCAGCAGAUUUUCUUAUUUUUAUAUGGGCGCUGCACUGUGGUGAUUUUUUUUUUUUUUUCCCCCUUUCAGUUUGACUUGUAUGCCCCCUUACCCAUGGCCUGCUGCAACUUUAAAUGCCUAGUAUGAGCAAUGAAUGCACCAAGCAGUUAAUCGUGGAUGUAAUAAGAUCACUGUUGUGCUCUCAACACUAAGGGUUGUUCUGUAUCCUGUGUUUUUGUCAGGAUGUUUUUGUAGAUGAGCAGAGUAUAGAAAUGAUUCAGUUUUCUUUCAACUUGGGAAAUGUUCUUGUUUUUGGAAAAAAACGUUUAUUCUAAGAUUUGAUUGGUGAUAGGUUUCUAUCCCCAGUUAAAAUGAACCAUUUGUGUUGUCAUUUACACAAAUCAAGUGACUGCUGGAACAUGCAGUACAAACAAAAUGGCACUGUCGCAU
This is an RNA transcript of Sander lucioperca (pikeperch), 2699 nucleotides long. It is a transcript of the gene named family with sequence similarity 122B, with no coding region annotated. NCBI's taxonomy places the organism in Eukaryota, Metazoa, Chordata, Actinopteri, Perciformes, Percidae. The transcript is spliced from 10 exons. The record is from RefSeq and is a predicted model, not a curated record.